RNAcentral lists this ribosomal RNA (485 nucleotides) under uncultured bacterium. RNAcentral describes it as "partial 16S ribosomal RNA". It matches the Rfam family "Bacterial small subunit ribosomal RNA", at positions 28 to 507 of the family's 1533-position model. The record is from RNAcentral.
GAUGAACGCUAGCUACAGGCUUAACACAUGCCAGUCGAGGGGCAGCAUGACCUAGCAAUAGGUUGAUGGCGACCGGCGCACGGGUGAGUAACACGUAUCCAACCUGCCGAUUAUUCCGGGAUAGCCUUUCGAAAGAAAGAUUAAUACUGGAUAGCAUAACGAGAAGGCAUCUUCUUGUUAUUAAAGAAUUUCGAUAAUCGAUGGGGAUGCGUUCCAUUAGUUUGUUGGCGGGGUAACGGCCCACCAAGACAUCGAUGGAUAGGGGUUCUGAGAGGAAGGUCCCCCACAUUGGAACUGAGACACGGUCCAAACUCCUACGGGAGGCAGCAGUGAGGAAUAUUGGUCAAUGGACGAGAGUCUGAACCAGCCAAGUAGCGUGAAGGAGGACUGCCCUAUGGGUUGUAAACUUCUUUUAUAUGGGAAUAAAGUGGGCCACGUGUGGCUUUUUGUAUGUACCAUACGAAUAAGGAUCGGCUAACUCCGUG